This is a non-coding RNA of Camelina sativa (false flax), 688 nucleotides long. The record is from RefSeq and is a predicted model, not a curated record. NCBI's taxonomy places the organism in Eukaryota, Viridiplantae, Streptophyta, Magnoliopsida, Brassicales, Brassicaceae.
AUCCGUUUGUCUUCGGAGAAGAGACUUGAGUCGCCGCCGGUGAAUACUCUUCGAUACAAUCCGCCGUACGAUUCCUUUUACUCGGCUUCCUUUGUGCAGUGAGAAUGGGGAGCAAGGAUUUGAACACCUGGGUUUCGGAUAAGUUGAUGGUUCUGCUAGGCUAUUCACAAACUGAUGUUGUCAAGUAUCUAAUUGCCAAGGCUAAAAAAUCAGAAUCACCAGAUGAACUCGUGGGUGAGUUGUUGGAUUGCGGGCUUUCUUUGUCUGGUGAUACCCGUGCUUUUGCAGAAGAAAUUUAUGCCAGAGUUCCCCGUAAAACCACUGGUGUGAAUCUCUACCAGCAACAAGAAGCAGAGGCAGCGCUGCUGUUGAAGAAGCAAAAAAAAAAAUUCCCUUUUAGAGGCUGAUCACGAUGAAGAUGAAGGCAGUGCAGAGAAUCAAUCUGCUUUGGAAUCAGGAAAGUCAGAUAAAGGAAAAAAGAGGUUCAGAAAGAAAAUUGAGGAUUCGGAAGACUACGACGAUGAUGAGGCAAAUUGUUUUCUAUUCAAUGACAGACUUCCUUUUUUUCCUUUAUGGUGGUGAUUAUUAGAGAGGACAAAAGGAAUGUUAGGCGAAAGGUGUCCCAAGGCGAGGAUGAUGGCACUGAGUCUGAAGAGGAAAGAUUACGUGACCAAAGGGAGAGAGAAGA